UACGUAGGGUGCAAGCGUUAAUCGGAAUUACUGGGCGUAAAGCGCACGUAGGCGGCUUUGUAAGUUAGAGGUGAAAGCCUGGAGCUCAACUCCAGAAUUGCCUUUAAGACUGCAUCGCUUGAAUCCAGGAGAGGUGAGUGGAAUUCCGAGUGUAGAGGUGAAAUUCGUAGAUAUUCGGAAGAACACCAGUGGCGAAGGCGGCUCACUGGACUGGUAUUGACGCUGAGGUGCGAAAGCGUGGGGAGCAAACAGG
This 253-nucleotide ribosomal RNA is filed under the name uncultured bacterium. RNAcentral describes it as "partial 16S ribosomal RNA". It matches the Rfam family "Bacterial small subunit ribosomal RNA", at positions 524 to 776 of the family's 1533-position model. The record is from RNAcentral.